AGGGAAUCUUCGGCAAUGGACGAAAGUCUGACCGAGCAACGCCGCGUGAGUGAAGAAGGUUUUCGGAUCGUAAAACUCUGUUGUUAGAGAAGAACAAGGAUGAGAGUAACUGUUCAUCCCUUGACGGUAUCUAACCAGAAAGCCACGGCUAACUACGUGCCAGCAGCCGCGGUAAUACGUAGGUGGCAAGCGUUGUCCGGAUUUAUUGGGCGUAAAGCGAGCGCAGGCGGUUUCUUAAGUCUGAUGUGAAAGCCCCCGGCUCAACCGGGGAGGGUCAUUGGAAACUGGGAGACUUGAGUGCAGAAGAGGAGAGUGGAAUUCCAUGUGUAGCGGUGAAAUGCGUAGAUAUAUGGAGGAACACCAGUGGCGAAGGCGGCUCUCUGGUCUGUAACUGACGCUGAGGCUCGAAAGCGUGGGGAGCAAAC
This 425-nucleotide ribosomal RNA is filed under the name uncultured bacterium. RNAcentral describes it as "bacterial SSU rRNA". It matches the Rfam family "Bacterial small subunit ribosomal RNA", at positions 356 to 773 of the family's 1533-position model. The record is from RNAcentral.